Molecule: non-coding RNA, 104 nt
Organism: Ciborinia camelliae
Lineage: Eukaryota; Fungi; Ascomycota; Leotiomycetes; Helotiales; Sclerotiniaceae
Source: the annotation of a GenBank genome assembly
GCGUUUGUGGUUUAGUGGUAAAAUCCAUCGUUGCCAUUUGAGGAGAUUCAUCCAUCUCUUCAAUCAACGUCGAUGGGCCCCGUGUUCGAUUCACGGCGAUCGCA